UUUACCAAUACCCAACCCGUUAAAACAAACCCAAAAUUUUAACCCAAAACCUAACCCUUCACUCUCACGUCGUCUCUCCCAAAUCAUAGACUCUCUAUCCACCAUUAAAUUCAAUUUCUCCAUUAUCAUUCUGAAAUUUCUAAUAGGGUUUAGUUGUAUUCGUCAACUAUGAUUCAUCUUCAUAGUAACUUUUUCUUGUUAAAGAGUUCAAAAUGUCUGCAGGGUCAAGCGGCUCAAUUGACUCAAAGAAGAAGUGUCGUUGUGGAUUUGUAGCACAUCAUUUUACAGGGACGACUCCUAUGAACUGUGGGAGAUAUUUUUACAAGGGUCCAUUCCUUGAAUUAAGUAUAAUUUACAUAAUGCAAUUCACAAUUUUAUGGAUAAUAUUUUAUUGGAACAUAAUCGGUGAUUUUUAUUGUGUAAUUAUUUGGCAGAAACAAGGCUGUGGGUAUUGGGAAUUGGAUGAUAUAGAAUUUUUCCCCUGAGCUGUAAUCGUCAUUAGCAUUCAAAGGAGAAAAUUAGAAAUUUGAAAUUGAAAGAAAUAGGUUGAUAAAGAAGAUAGAUGAUUUAUAAGUUGUUGCUGUUAUUGAGCUAAAAUGAUAAUAGAGUUGAGGGAAAGAUUGGAUGUACUUGAAGCAUCUGCUAUUAAGGAUAACUUGAAGAUUGUGGAGUUGAGGGGAGAAGUAUUACGACAAUCGAAUUUUUUAAUUUUGUUGUUCACUAGCCUUACUGUGUUUAUGUCAGCAUGGGCUGAAAUGAUCCAUGUAAUAAUCAUUGCUUAGAAUUCUAUAGUUUGGUCUUUUGUUAGAAAUGCAUUGGUGCUAUGUAAUUUUGACUUCAUGUAAUAGUCUAUGUUGUGAACUUGUUUCCAAUAUUUCCGAAUCAUGUAAUAGUCUAUGUUGUGAACUUGUCUCUAAUCACAGGGAAUUUCUCAUCUUAGUAGGAGCUUUCCAAAGAAAUAGCUUAG
RNAcentral lists this long non-coding RNA (967 nucleotides) under Nicotiana benthamiana. RNAcentral describes it as "long non-coding RNA (NBEN_LNC015320)". Lineage: Eukaryota; Viridiplantae; Streptophyta; Magnoliopsida; Solanales; Solanaceae. The record is from RNAcentral.